This 1475-nucleotide ribosomal RNA is filed under the name uncultured bacterium. RNAcentral describes it as "bacterial SSU rRNA". It matches the Rfam family "Bacterial small subunit ribosomal RNA". The record is from RNAcentral.
GAGAGUUUGAUCCUGGCUCAGGACGAACGCUGGCGGCACGCUUAACACAUGCAAGUCGAACGAGAGAAGAGGAGCUUGCUUUUCUGAUCUAGUGGCGGACGGGUGAGUAACACGUGAGCAACCUGCCUUUCAGAGGGGGAUACCGAUUGGAAACGAUCGUUAAUACCGCAUAAUAUAAUUGAACCGCAUGAUUUGAUUAUCAAAGAUUUAUCGCUGAAAGAUGAGCUCGCGUCUGAUUAGCUAGUUGGUAAGGUAACGGCUUACCAAGGCGACGAUCAGUAGCCGGACUGAGAGGUUGAUCGGCCACAUUGGGACUGAGACACGGCCCAGACUCCUACGGGAGGCAGCAGUGGGGAAUAUUGCACAAUGGAGGAAACUCUGAUGCAGCGAUGCCGCGUGAGGGAAGAAGGUUUUAGGAUUGUAAACCUCUGUCUUCAGGGACGAAAAAUGACGGUACCUGAGGAGGAAGCUCCGGCUAACUACGUGCCAGCAGCCGCGGUAAUACGUAGGGAGCGAGCGUUGUCCGGAAUUACUGGGUGUAAAGGGAGCGUAGGCGGGAUCGCAAGUCAGAUGUGAAAACUAUGGGCUUAACCCAUAAACUGCAUUUGAAACUGUGGUUCUUGAGUGAAGUAGAGGUAAGCGGAAUUCCUAGUGUAGCGGUGAAAUGCGUAGAUAUUAGGAGGAACAUCAGUGGCGAAGGCGGCUUACUGGGCUUUAACUGACGCUGAGGCUCGAAAGCGUGGGGAGCAAACAGGAUUAGAUACCCUGGUAGUCCACGCCGUAAACGAUGAUUACUAGGUGUGGGGGGACUGACCCCUUCCGUGCCGCAGCAAACGCAAUAAGUAAUCCACCUGGGGAGUACGACCGCAAGGUUGAAACUCAAAGGAAUUGACGGGGGCCCGCACAAGCAGUGGAGUAUGUGGAUUAAUUCGAAGCAACGCGAAGAACCUUACCAGGUCUCGACAUCGUAUGCAUAGCUCAGAGAUGAGUGAAAUCUCUUCGGAGACAUAUAGACAGGUGGUGCAUGGUUGUCGUCAGCUCGUGUCGUGAGAUGUUGGGUUAAGUCCCGCAACGAGCGCAACCCUUACUGUUAGUUGCUACGCAAGAGCACUCUAGCAGGACUGCCGUUGACAAAACGGAGGAAGGUGGGGAUGACGUCAAAUCAUCAUGCCCCUUAUGACCUGGGCCUCACACGUACUACAAUGGCUGUAAACAGAGGGAUGCAAAGCCGCGAGGUGGAGCGAACCCCUAAAAGCAGUCUUAGUUCGGAUUGUAGGCUGCAACCCGCCUACAUGAAGUCGGAAUUGCUAGUAAUCGCAGAUCAGCAUGCUGCGGUGAAUACGUUCCCGGGCCUUGUACACACCGCCCGUCACGCCAUGGGAGUCGGUAACACCCGAAGCCUGUAGUCUAACCGCAAGGAGGACGCAGUCGAAGGUGGGAUUGAUGACUGGGGUGAAGUCGUAACAAGGUAGCCG